Papio anubis (olive baboon) is the source of this 257-nucleotide unclassified non-coding RNA. It matches the Rfam family "Metazoan signal recognition particle RNA". From Rfam's summary of the family: The signal recognition particle (SRP) is a universally conserved ribonucleoprotein. It is involved in the co-translational targeting of proteins to membranes. The record is from Ensembl. Lineage: Eukaryota; Metazoa; Chordata; Mammalia; Primates; Cercopithecidae.
GCUGGGCAUGGUGGCGUGUGCCUGUAAUCCCAGCUACUCAGGAGGCUGAGGCAGGAGAAUCGCUUGAAUCUGGGAGGCGGAAGUUGCAGUGAGACAAGAUGAUGCCACUGCACUCCAGCCUAGGUAACAGAGUGAGACACCUUUUUUUUUUUUUGGAGGCAGAAUUUCGUUCUUGUUGCCCAGGCUGGAGUGCAAUGGUACAAUCUCGGCUCACUGAAACCUCUACUUCCUGGGUUCAAGCGAUUCUCCUGCCUCAG